GGAAGUUCCUUCUGGUCAUUCACACAGUCACAAACACACAUUCACGCAGUCAUACCUGGGAAUCGAAUUCAAGGUGUCGGCACACAAGGCAAGCACGUGCAUUCCCUCCACCAUCGGCGAGUCCCACGACGAUGGUUUAAGGACAGAAACAGAAGCUUACUUCAUUCUAUUCGGCUGCAUCAGAUAAACACGCAACUUGUGUGGUGACAAGUUAACCUUAGCUACACUACAACCCCAACGACGAAAGAGACCGCACAGUCGUUGCAGCGAGAAAAUGUUUGCAAGGACCACAGCAAAGUACGUGGAGGAAAAGGACCGUAGUCGUCAACGACCGGAAGCUCUUUGGCUGCAGCAUAUAGGAAUCCAAACUGACAUCAGUGAAGCUAUUGGUCCUAAGCAGGAGGAGCCAGAGCGCACUCGCAUUAAAGAGGAAGAUGUGGCCAAAGAGGUCCAGCACCUCAAUGAACAAAUGGAGCAGAAGUUUCUUUGCACCAUAAAAGAGGAGGAAGAUCCAGAGCGGCCUUGUAAUAAAGAGGAGAGAGAGGACUCCUGCGACAUUAAAAACGAGAGAGAAGACUCCUAUGACAUUAAAAAAGAAGAGGAGGAGGAUGCCUGCAAGAUACCAUUGACUGGUGUCCAUUUGAAUAGUUUAGAUGAGGGUCAACGUGAGGUGACCAAAGGGGCGGAGCCUUCAAGCUGCAGCUCAGGUCAACAAAUGACCAGAGAAGGUGAUGGAGACCACUGUGGGGGAUCACAAGCAGCUCCAUCAUCAGAUUGUGAUGACGUGUCGUCACAUGUUCCUGCUGCUGCUGUUCGUGCUGCUGCUGCUGCUGAUGAUGAGUCUCAAAACAAACACAGACAAUGUUCUCAGUGUGGAAUUUGUUUUGCUCAUAGCAGUAGUUUGAAACAACACACAAGAAUCCACACUGGGGAGAAACCUUUUUCAUGCUUAGAUUGUGGCCAAAAUUUCUCUCGGAUGGACAUUUUAAAAAUCCACACAAGAAUCCACACUGGCGAGAAACCUUUUUCAUGCUCAGUUUGUGGCCAAAAGUUCUCUCGGAAGGGAAGUUUAAAAAGGCACACGAGAAGCCACACUGGUGAGAAACCUUAUUCAUGCUCAGUUUGUGGCCAAAGAUUCUCUCAGAGGGGAACCUUAAAAGGUCAUACAAGAAUCCACACUGGUGAGAAACCUUUUUCAUGCUCAGUUUGUGGCCAACAAUUCUCUCACAGGAAAUCUUUAAAAACGCACACAAGAAUCCACACUGGCGAGAAACCUUUUUCAUGCUCAGUUUGUGGCCAACAAUUCUCUCACAGGAAAUCUUUAAAAACGCACACAAGAAUCCACACUGGCGAGAAACCUUUUUCAUGCUCAGUUUGUGGCCAAAGAUUCUCUGAGAAGGGAACCUUAAAAAGUCAUACAAGAAUCCACACUGGUGAGAAACCUUUUUCAUGCUCAGUUUGUGGCCUAAAGUUCGGUCACAAGGGAACCUUAGAAAUUCAUACACAAAUCCACACUGGCGAGAAACCUUUUUCAUGCUCAGUUUGUGGCCAAAGAUUCUCUGAGAAAAGAAACUUAAAAAGUCAUACAAGAAUCCACACUGGGGAGAAACCUUUUUCAUGCUCAGUUUGUGGCCAAAAAUUCUCUCACAGGGGAAGUUUAAAUACGCACACAAGAAUCCACACUGGCGAGAAACCUUUUUCAUGCUCAGUUUGUGGCCAAAAAUCCUCUCAUAGGGGAAGUUUAAAAACACACAGAAGAAUCCACACUGGUGAGAAACCUUUUUCAUGCUCAGUUUGUGGCCUAAAGUUCGGUCGUAAGGGAUACUUAGAAAUCCAUACAAGAAUCCACACUGGCGAGAAACCUUUUUCAUGCUCAGUUUGUGGCCAAAAGUUCCGUCAGAAGGGACACUUAAAUAAUCAUACAAGAAUCCACACUGGCGAGAAACCUUUUUCAUGCUCAGUUUGUAGCCAAAGUUUUUCAGCGAAGAAAAGCUUAAAAGGUCAUACAAGAAUCCACAUUGGCGAGAACCCUGUUGCCUGCUCAGUCACUUGCCAAAGAGUCUCUCAUGAGAAUUCCGAGUAUGUUGGGGAGAUUAGCAAUGAUCCGUGAAGUUUUCACCUUCUGUUUGUUCAUGGGUUUUUGCAUCGAUGUUAAAAUACCUAGUUAACUGGUCUCAGGAUUAUAAUAGUUUUGUAGUUUUCAUUAUACUUGAUGUUUACUUUGUGUUUAGUUGUGGAUUUUAACUGUAAUUAAUUUUAAUUCAUUACUUCACUGGUUCUUCUAUAUCAAACAAUUUAUUUGUACACUGACAGUGUCAGUGACACUCUGAUGAAGGCGGAAGAACCCGCCGAAACAUGUCAGGUAAAUAAACCUAAAAUAAAUUGUUUGAUAUAGAAGAACCAGUGAAGUAAUUGAAAAAGAACCUAGUACAACAAUUUUAAUUCAUAUUCAGGCCAAGUUGCUUAGUUUCUAUUCGUGUUUAAGGUUUUAGUUUUGUUCAGCUUUUCAUGUUCAUGCACAAUGCACAAUGAUUUAAACUCUCUGUUAGAAAAAUGUAUAUAUAUGUUAUCAUGCGUUCUCUAAUCAAUGCCUUACCGCCAUAUUACUGCAAUAUAUGCUUGCUGUUUGGCCUUGCUGUUUUUAUGAUGUACCACAGAAUGACAGUUUCUUUCUAACAAAGACCACUUUGUUAGACAACGUGCCUCAUUGCUGUCCUGCACCCCAGAUGAACCUCCAAGUGACCAUUAAAGUCAGGGUUUCCUAACUAUCUUGAUCGUAGGAUUAGGUUGGAAUAGGUCAAAGGUGCAGUCAUCCUGAAACCUGGAUCCAUUGUUGUUGCAAAGCCAUGGCCCUCUGGUAUGUAAGAGGGAAGUUCUCAUCAACGACUUCUUCAGGUUGUGGUUCAGCAGUAACGUUGCUGGCAGGUGUACUCGACUUUCCAGGACCACUGGAGCACCCCAGAGCAGUGCUCCUUUUCCUUGGAGUGUCCCUGAGGGCAGAACACAUGAUUGUGGUGUUUAAUGCACUAAUACAUCUUUCAAUUUAAAAACAUCAGAGUAUUUUGUCAGCGUGCAUAUAAAUAUAACAGCUCUCCUUACCAUUUCCGUCGCCCAGGAGACAUUGGUCCAGGAUUUGGUCGCUGUUCUGAAACUAUUAUCUGUAUAGGACAAUCUCCUGAAAGAGACAAGCAUGGUCAUGUAUUAUUUAUUUUUUCCUUACAUACCAAGACGCUAUGAGAUACUUACUCUGUAUAUUGAGUGAUUGGCUAAUAUCAUGGAAUUGCUGAGCCGUUGCAGUACCCGGAGGGGCUCUGAUUUGGGGAGAACUGUAGCUCACAGGGAUGGAGUGGCUGAGCGUACUCUGUGUGCUGAGUGCCGGGCUGCUGAUUAAGGAUGCUUCCGAAGAACAUACAAGACUGCUCGUUGAAGUCAUCGUCAAACCUCGUUGUUUCGCCAAGUUUGCCAGUCCAAUGCGUGAACGUGCUAUUAUGGAAAAAGACCAUUUACAUAACUGUUUAGUUUAGAUCUGAGCUUAAAAUUUGUUUAAAUAAUCAAUCACACCAUUCUUGGAUCAUUUUAGGAUGACAAACACAGGAUCUCAGCACAAUGGCUACUGGCAAUGGAACUUAUGAAAUACUUUAUGAGUGGUAGUGUGACAAGCAGCUAAAGCAACAGGAAUAACUAAACCUCCAUUACACAUACAAGAAAAUCUGAAUUGACACCAUUCAGUUAUUUUCAAUUACUAUUAGUACCAAAUUUAUUGUAUGACUGUUUUUUAAACAUUUGUAUGAUUAAGAGUGUUAGAGUGCAAUGUACCAAUCUGGCUUCUAAAUCCAAAGUUUGAUUUUAUUUAAUUUGAUCAUCUUAUUUUUUUCAUUUGAAUAACAGGUAAGAAUGAUACUUCCCCAGUAAAAUAAAUUCUGAGACAAAAGGUUUGAUGCUGGAACACAUCAUUUCAAUUUUUAUUGCAUCCUUUGGGAAAACUCCUUAGGAAGUGGAAAACGGAGGGGGUCUAGUGUUCUAAAAUAGAUUGUGUUCGAGAGUAUAUGCAAAGCGUCGAGAAAUUUCCAUUUUAUUUCUAGAUUCUCACCUCUCUGACUUGCUGCGAUAGCUGGGGAACUCUGUAA
Molecule: RNA transcript, 4127 nt
Organism: Syngnathus typhle (broad-nosed pipefish)
Lineage: Eukaryota; Metazoa; Chordata; Actinopteri; Syngnathiformes; Syngnathidae
Gene name: gastrula zinc finger protein XlCGF26.1-like
Exons: 5
Source: RefSeq, a predicted model, not a curated record